UACAGAGGGGGCAAGCGUUGUUCGGAAUUACUGGGCGUAAAGGGCGCGUAGGCGGCCUUCUAAGUCGAACGUGAAAUCCCCGGGCUCAACCCGGGAACUGCGUCCGAUACUGGAAGGCUUGAAUCCGGGAGAGGGAUGCGGAAUUCCAGGUGUAGCGGUGAAAUGCGUAGAUAUCUGGAGGAACACCGGUGGCGAAGGCGGCAUCCUGGACCGGUAUUGACGCGUGAGGCGCGAAAGCCGGGGAGCAAAGCGGG
RNAcentral lists this ribosomal RNA (254 nucleotides) under uncultured bacterium. Its description in RNAcentral is "partial 16S ribosomal RNA". It matches the Rfam family "Bacterial small subunit ribosomal RNA", at positions 524 to 777 of the family's 1533-position model. The record is from RNAcentral.